This is a non-coding RNA of Podarcis lilfordi (Lilford's wall lizard), 70 nucleotides long. The record is from the annotation of a GenBank genome assembly. Lineage: Eukaryota; Metazoa; Chordata; Lepidosauria; Squamata; Lacertidae.
GCAUUAGCUCAGUUGGUAGAGCAUGAGACUCUUAAUCUCAGGGUUGAGGGUUCAAGCCCUACCUUGGACA